UGGGGAUAUUGCACAAUGGGGGAAACCCUGAUGCAGCGACGCCGCGUGAGUGAAGAAGUAUUUCGGUAUGUAAAGCUCUAUCAGCAGGAAAGAAAAUGACGGUACCUGACUAAGAAGCCCCGGCUAACUACGUGCCAGCAGCCGCGGUAAUACGUAGGGGGCAAGCGUUAUCCGGAUUUACUGGGUGUAAAGGGAGCGUAGACGGCAUGGCAAGUCUGAUGUGAAAGCUCGGGGCUCAACCCCGGAACUGCAUUGGAAACUGUUAAGCUAGAGUGCAGGAGAGGUAAGUGGAAUUCCUAGUGUAGCGGUGAAAUGCGUAGAUAUUAGGAGGAACACCAGUGGCGAAGGCGGCUUACUGGACUGUAACUGACGUUGAGGCUCGAAAGCGUGGGGAGCAAACAGGAUUAGAUACCCUGGUAGU
This 421-nucleotide ribosomal RNA is filed under the name uncultured Clostridium sp. Its description in RNAcentral is "bacterial SSU rRNA". It matches the Rfam family "Bacterial small subunit ribosomal RNA", at positions 356 to 794 of the family's 1533-position model. The record is from RNAcentral. Lineage: Bacteria; Bacillati; Bacillota; Clostridia; Eubacteriales; Clostridiaceae.